GGAAGUAAAAGUGUAACAAGGUUUCCGUAGGUGAACCUGCGGAAGGAUCAUUAUUGUAUAACCGAGGUGCGAGGGCUGUCGCUGACCCGAAAGGUCGUGCACGCCCGAGUGCCCUCACACACAUCCAUCUCACCCCUAUGUGCACCACCGCGUGGGUCCCCCUUUGGCUUGUUCGGAGGGGGGCUUACGUUUUCACACAAACUUUGUAUGCAGUGUAGAAUGUAUUUUUUGUUUUUGCGAUCACGCAAUCAAUACAACUUUCAACAACAGAUCUCUUGGCUCUC
This 284-nucleotide unclassified non-coding RNA is filed under the name plant metagenome. Its description in RNAcentral is "partial contains small subunit ribosomal RNA and internal transcribed spacer 1". The stretch from base 1 to 53 matches the Rfam family "Eukaryotic small subunit ribosomal RNA", at positions 1778 to 1831 of the family's 1831-position model. The record is from RNAcentral.